UUAUUCAUGCAUUUGUUUCUUCAUUAGUUUGUUUUUGUGACAUUUAAUGCCUUUUGUUUGUCAGCCACAUGAAAAUAAACCUGGUGCCUUGUCCUUGGGAGGUUCUUUUAUUCUAGUUUUGAGAAUCACAGGCACAAUUACCGUUUGAUAAUUGCUAUUAAAAGAGAAAAAUGCUACAGAAGCAGCAAAGAGGAAAUGCUGAACCACUUGGGUUGAUUAAAGGAAGCUUCCUGUGUGUUCAUGCCUGCUGCAGACUGAUACCACAGGCGUCUUACUCGGGAUUCCAAAUGGAAUCUUGGAGAAAGGUUGGCUUCUCCACUUGUACAGAUUGGAGUGGAGAGGUGGCUGCCAUCUCCCAACGAGCUGGUCAUAGCCUCCCGUGGUUUUUGAACACCUGAAAUGUGUCCACAUCAAACUGGAAUGUGCUGUGUGAAAUGUAUACUGGAUUAGAGAGACUUACUGAGAUAUUUCAUAUUUUCUUUUAGUAUUAUAUUGGUUGUAUGUUGAAAUGAUAAUAUUAUGGAUAUAUAUUGGAUUAAGUAAAAUUUAUUAAAAUUAUUCCUAUCUCUACAUUUUUUUUUUAAAGAUUGUAUUUAUUUAUUUGAGAGAGAGAGAGCACAAGAGGGGGGAGGGUCAGAGGAAGAAGCAGACUCCCUGCUAAGCAGGGAGCCCGAUGUGGGACUCAAUCCUGGGACACCAGGAUCAUGACCUGAGCCGAAGGCAGUUGCUUAACCGACUGAGCCACCCAGGUGCCCCUAUUUCUACAUUUUUAAAUUUGGGUGCUGGAAAAUUUAAAAUUAUACUGUGGCUCAUCCUCUGUUUCUCUUGGGCAGUGCUGCCCUAACAUGAAGAACAUUUGGAAUUUCCAUUAAUUUUGGACCAUCUAGGAUGAGAAUUCUGUAAUCUAGGGGAGAGGAUGAGGGAGAAAUUCUCCAAGAAAGGGGCUAAAGAGUAAGAGGACUUAGUGGAAGGCUGGAGGAAUGCCCCCAUUUUGUGGAUGAGAGGAGCGAAGGCUUAGGAGAGAUUAGUCAGCAGUUGGAAGAAAGCAGGCUUGCCGAUGGCUGUUCAGCUGUGGGGCUGGAGUGCAGGUGUGCAUGUGUGGAUCAGAGCUGCCAGAAACCAGAGCCCCCUGGGGGGCAUGUUGCAGUUUUCUUGUCUUUGCAUCUGCAGCCCUACAGAGUGAGUGUGGUAAUGAGCUCUGGCUUAGUGGGAGGUCUGGGGUUUAGUCCAGCAUUGCCACAGACCUCUCGUGCACAGAGGUGGGUUGGAACUAGACUCUUAGCUGCUUUUCAGUUUGCACAUCCUGUCACCCUGGCUUUACAGACAUGAGGUAUUUGUGUUCAUGUGCUUCUUUACUUUUCUGUAAGUUAAAUCCUAGUGACUCAGACUUCAUUCUUCCUUUGCUGUCCUCAGGACCUACCAAGUCUGCCCUUUGAGCCUUGACCUAGGUGUUGCCAAGUCUGUUGAUUCUCAGCCUUCAUCUUACUAUACCCCUUGACAGCAUUUGACAUAGUGGUUCAAGAAAAAAGGAGUGCGUAGUUUCCUCAUUGGGCUUCCAGAACACCUCACUUCUCUGGUUUUACCUGCCUUGUCGGGUCUGUUUUCUGUCUUGUUUGCAGGACUUUCCUCUGGAGCCUGACCUCUAGAUACUCAAGUGCCCCAGGGCCUCAUCUUGGUCCUCCUGUUCAGUGUCCUUACCCUGAGUGACCUCAGCCAGUGCUGUGUGGACCCCAGCCUCACCUUUGUCUGGUCUCCAGCUUUGGGGACGUAUUGAGUGCUGGGAGGGCUGAUGGGCACCUUCAACCCAGUGUGCACUGGAGCUCUCGCCUGACCUCUGAGCUCAUCCCGUAGUGACUGGCUUCAUCUGUGGAAGCCGUUCCUCAGAAACUGCUGUUGGCUCUGCCUUUAGAGUACAUCUUACACCUACCACAGGGGCUGUUGCUGGGUUCAUGCCCACCUCUUCCUUCUGCUUCGCCAUGGCUUCCACAGUCUCUGCUCAGGAACCUAGGUGUCCACGGAGUGUUUCUGCUGUGCGGGCAGCCUUCCUGUGGCUUGUGAGCUCUUCGCCAGGGCCGACAAAGCUAUGUGUGGCGUCAGGCCCUGGCUACCUGCUAUCUUUUCCUGCCACUUCCCCCAGCUCAUGCUCUAGGCUUUGUGGCCCCCUGGCUAUUUUUAGAUGAACUGGGGCCCUGUGCUCCAUGUUCCUCUGCCUGGAGAGCUCUUUGUGCAGGCCUCCAGGAACCUCUGUGGACACAGCCCUUCCCUGCCUCCUCUUGGGGAAGGCGCUCAUCCUGUGAAAGGGCUGUAGGCUGGGAAACCCAGUCACCAUUCCUAGCAAAGUUGUGUGUAAACUGGGUGCUUGUGAAGACCUGGGGGCUAUCCUGUGGGAUUUUGUUCUAGGACCUUGCAUCUAUGAGUCUUUAUCAGAAUCUUUGGCUGUUUCUGCUUGUUGGUUAGAGGCUGUGUCCUGAAGGCUGUUUGCAGAAGUGUGACUCUAAUCGAGACAUUUCCAUGCUGGUACUUCUGUUGCAGUAGGAUUUUUUUUUUUUUUUUUUUUUAAGAUUUAUUUAUUUAUUUUAGAGAGGGAGCAAGCAUGUGCAAGAGUGAGAGAGCGUCUGCGUGAGCGCUCGGGAUGGCAGGAAGGCCAGAGGGAGAGGGAGAGAGUAUCUCAAGCGGCCUCCGGGCUAAGUGCGGAGCCUGAUGAGGGGCUCAGUCCCACGACCCUGAGAUCACAACCUGAGCCAAAGCCAAGAGUCGGCGCUUAACCGCUUAACUGACUGAGUCACCCAGGUGCCUUGUAGUAGUUUUUAUGAUAGGAUUUAUUCUGGUUUUGUUUAAUAGCUUUUGACCCUUUUUUACCUGAUUUGCUGGAUCUGUUGAUCUUUUAUAGUGAAGUAUUUCAUUAUUGACUUUAGCUCUUCUAACAGCAAGAAAGUAACUUAAAGUUUUGAGCGUAAACUUGGGAAAUGAACAAGCUAAAAUUUAAAUCAGAGUAGUAGGGCGCCUGGGUGGCUCAGUUGGUUAAGUGACUGUCUUCGGCUCAGGUCAUGAUCCCCGGGUCCUGGGAUCGAGUCCCGCAUCGGGCUCCCUGCUCUGCAGGGAGCCUGCUUCUCCCUCUCCCACUCCCCCUGCUUGUGUUCCCUCUCUCACUGUGUCUCUCUCUGUCAAAUAAAUAAAUAAAAUCUUAAAUAAAUAAAUAAAUAAAUCAGAGUAGUAAUCCUAAAGAUUUUUUCCAACUUUUCAUUUUGAAAAAUUUUAAACCUUUACAAAAUGUCAAAGAAUAUUCAGUGAGCACUCAUAUACCCUUCACCUAAAUUCAUUAAUGACUUUAUCAUCCUCUCUCUGUGAUGUGUUACUAUUUUUAAUGCACCAUAGAGAGUAAGUUGGAUGUGUUAUGUUCCUUCACCCCAAGGCUUUCAGGAUCUCCUAAAAACAAGGAAAUUCUCAUAUAAUCACAGCAUAGUAGUUAAAUUCAGGAAAUGUCGUAUUGAUGCAAUACUAUGAAUAAUCUAUACAUACAGUAUAUUGUUCAUAUUCAGAUUUUCCCUAAUUGGUCCCCAUGUAUCCUUUAUAGACUUAAAAAAUCACAGGUAAUGCUUAGCAUCUGGUUGCCUGGUUCCUUUUGUCUUCUUUAGUCUAGAACAGGCCCCAGCCCCAGUUCCCCUUAAAUCUUUCGUGACAUGUACAGUUUUGAGGAGUCCAGGUCAGUUGCUCUGUACAGUGACCCACAAUCUGGAUAUGUCUGCUUUGUUUCCUCAUGAUUAGAUUCAGAUUAAACAAUUUUGACAAGAGUAUUGUGCAGGUACCGUUGUGGAUGUUUUCAUUACCUGAGGAGUCACGUGUGUCCUCGUGUGUUUCACGCCACAGUUUGAUCAGUUGUUGAGGGCUUGUCUGCUGGACCUUCGUGUUGUGUGGUGCUGCGCCCUCUCCUUAUAUUCAAGGAGGACAGACACAGGAAAGAAGCUUGCCAUGUGCACACAGAGGCAGAGAUUGGAGUGGCACAUCUGUGGACCAAGGAAGACCAAGGAUUGCCAUAGCCACUAGAAGCUAGAAGAAGCACGAAGGGAUUCUUCCUUAGAGGCUUCAGAGGGAGCAUGGCCCUGCCAUCACCUUGAUGUUGGACUUCUGACCUCCAGGACUAUGAAAAGAUAAAAACAAAUUUGUUUUGUUUUAAGCCACCCAGUUUGUGGUACUUUGUUACAGCAACCCUGGGAAACUCAUACACUGGGCAAAGUGUAUAAGGUGGUCUAUUAUUUCUCAUGCUUCACGUGAAUCUACAAUUAUUUCGGUUGGAGAUAACCAUUUGAGGGACUGCCAAAAUGUUUCCUACAGUGACUGCACAAUUUUAUAUCCCCAUCAGCAGUCUAUGAGGGUUCCCAUUUCUCUAUAGAAGCAUCAGCACUUGCUAUGGUCCAUCUUUUUGAUUAUAGUUAUCCUUGUGGGUGUGAAGUUGGCAUCUCAUUGUGGUGCUGAUUUACAUUUCCCUAAUGGCUGAUGGUGUUGAACAACUUUUCUUGUCCUUAUUGGUCAUCUGUAUAUGUUGAUUGGAGAAAUUUCUAUUCAGAUCCUUUUCCUAUUUUUAAAUUUGAUUUUCUUUUUGUUAUCAAAUUGUAUGUUGUCUUUACGUACUGUAAAUAGGUUCCUUAUCAGUUAUAUGACUUGCAGAUAUUUUUCUUUUUGUGGGUUGUGUUUUCACUUUUUUGAUGGCGUUCUUUGAAAAACAUUUUUUUUUUUAAAGAUUUUAUUUAUUUGCUGGAGAGAGAGCAUAGGUGAGAGAGAGUGAGCGAGAGUGCAAGCAGGGGGAGCUGCCGGCAGAGGGAGAAGCAGGCUCCCUGCCGAGCAAGGAGCCUGAUGCAGGACUCAAUCCCAGGACCCUGGGAUCAAUGCCCGAGCUGAAGGCAGCGGCUUAACCUACUGAGCCACCCAGGCGUCCCGAAGCACAAACAUUUUUAAUUUUGAUUAUGUCUAAUUUGUUUCCUUUGUUGCAUGUGCUUUGGGGGAGUCAUAUAAAAAAAUUGCCAAGGGGGGGGCACCUGGGUGGCUCAGUCAUUAAGUGUCUGCCUUUGGCUCAGGUCAUGAUCUCAGGGUCCUGGGAUCGAGUCCCGCAUCAGGCUCCCUGCUUGGCGGGAAGCCUGCUUCUCCCUCUCCAACUCCCCCUGCUUGUGUUCCUUCUCUCGCUGUGUCUCUCUCUGUCAAAUAAAUAAAUAAAACCUUAAAAAAAAAAAAAUUGCCAAGGGGCGAUGUGUGGCUCAGUUGGUUAAGGGUCUGACUCUUGAUUUUGGCUCAGGUCAUGAACUCAGGGUUGUGGAAUCGGCCUCCUGUUGGGCUUUGCGCUGAGCAUGGAGCCUGCUUGAGAUUCUCCCUCUCCCUCUGCCCACCCCCCCCAACUGUGCGUGCGCUCUCUCUCUCUCAAAUAAAAUGUUUUAAAAAAAACUGCCAAAUCCUAGGUCAUGAAGGUUUAUGCCUAUGUUUUCUUCUUUUUUUUAGAGAGAGCAUGCAUGCAAGUCGGGGUGGGAGGGACAGAGGGAGAGGGAGAGAGAGAUUCUUAAGCAGGCUCCAUGCUCAGCACGGAGCCCGAUGAGGGUCUCGAUCUCACAGCCUUGAGAUCAUGACCUGAGCUGAAAUCAAAUUGGACACUUAAUGGACUGAGCCACCCAGGCGCCCUGCCUAUGUUUUCUUCUAAGUGUUUUAUAGUUUUAGCUCACAUUCAUUCUUUUGCAUGUGGAUAUCCACUUGUCCCAGCACCAUUUGUUGAAAAGACUGUUCUUUCACCAUUGAAUGGUCAUGGUAUCUUUAUUGAAAAUCAGUUGACCAUAGAUACAUGGGUUUAUUCCUGGACUUUGAAUUCUAUUCCAGUGAUGAUAUGUCUGUCCUUAUGCUCGUAUGACACUGUCUUUUUUUUUUUUUUAAAGAUUUUAUUUAUUUACUUGAGAGAGUGAGAGAGAAUGAGAGAGAGCAUGAGAGGGGGGAGGGUCAGAGGGAGAAGCAGACUCCCCGUCGAGCAGGGAGCCUGAUGCUGGACUCGAUCCCGGGACUCCAGGAUCAUGACCUGAGCCGAAGGCAGUCGCCCAACCAACUGAGCCACCCAGGCGCCCUGACACUGUCUUAAUUACUAUAGCUUUAGAGUAAGUUUUGUAGUGGGGAAUAUAUGAAUUCUCCAACUUUGUUCUUUUUCAAGAUUAUUUUGGCUAUUUUGGGACUCUUCAGUUUCCAUGUGAAUUUUAGGGUUGCCUGUCAAUUUCUUCUUCUUCUUCUUUUUUUUUUUUGCCUGUCAGUUUCUACAAAGAAGUCAUGAGAUUCUGAUAGGGAUUGUGCUAAGUUUUCUUUUAAAUAUAAUGAUCUCUUCUUAGUAUCCAAAAUAUAUAAAGAACUUAUAAAACUCAACAUCCAAAAAACGAAUAAUCCAAUUAAAAAACAGAAGACAUGAAUAGACGUUUUUCUGAAGAAGACAUCCAGAUGGCCAACAGACUCAUGAAAAGAUGCUUGGGGCACCUGGCUGGCUCAGUCGGUAGAGCAUGCAACUCUUGAUCUUGGGGUUGUGAGUUUGAGCCCCAUGUUGGGUGUAGAGAUUACUUAAAAAUAAUCUUUUUUUUAAAAAAAGAUAUCAUCAGGGAAAUACAAACCAAAUGACAAUGAGAUAUUACCUCACACCUGUGAGAAUGGCUAAAAUCAACAACACAAGAAACAACAGGUGUUGUCGAGGAUGUGGAGAAAGGGGAAUGGAGAAAGGGGAACCCGCUUGCACUGUUGAUGCAAAUGCAAACUGGUGCAGCUCCUCUGGAAAACAGUAUGGAGGUUCCUCAGAAAGUUAAAAAUAGAGCUAUGCUAUGAUCCAGCAAUUGCACUACUAGGUAUUUACCUGAAGAAUACAAAGAAUACAAAAAUACUAAUUCAAAGGGAUACAUUCACCCCAAUGUUUAUAGCAGCAUUAUUUACAAUAGCCAAACUAUGGAAACAGUCCAAGUGUCCAUCAGUAGACGAAUGGAUGAAGAAAAAGAUAAGGAAUGUAUAUAUACAAUGGAAUAUUAUCCAUAAAAAAUAAAAUCUUGCCAUUUGCAACAACAUGGAUGGAGCAAGAGUAUUAUGCUAAGUGAAAUAAGUCAGAGAAAGAUACCAUAUGACUUCAUUCAUAUGUGGAAUUUAAAAAAAAAAAAGCAAAGUGGAAAAAAAGAGAGGUAACCAAGAAAUAGACUAGGGGAUUAAGGAGUGCAGUUGUGAUGAGCACCAGGUGAUAUAUGGAAGUACUGAGUCACUGUAUUGUACACCAGAAUCUACUACAGUAUGUUAACUAAGUGGAACUAAAAUAAAAACCUUAAAAAUAUACAUAUAGGAUCCCUGAGUGGAGUCAUAUGUAUACCUCUUACCAAGAAACAUGAACAAAUAUUUGUUGACAUCCAAACUGAGUAGCAGACUAACAGACAUAAUUGGGUCCUAAUGGCAUGGGACAGAUUGGAGAGUGUGGGCACGGAGGCAGCACAGACCUGAAGACUUGUAUAAAGGCUGGGCCUGCCCAUGGCCAAAACGUGUUACUGGAUGGACAGACACUGGGAGACAUCUUUGUAGUUGGAAGGUGUAGGCACUGUGCACAUGGGUCAGAGUCUGAGCUGGGUGGUGGUGAUGAUGGUCAUACAAGGCAGUGGGGAGUGGGGGCAGAGGCAGGUGUCAGGGACCCUCAGUGUCGGGGCACCACAGGAAGGAAUACACUGUUGAUUGUUUUAGAGUGCUGGGCUGGUCACAAAGAACAGAGCUAUAGUGACCCACGGACCCACGGACCUUAUCUUUGGGGCUUUAGCUGAAGAGAGGAGAGUGCUUUGCAUGUAUUAGAUGCUCACAGAAUACCAUUGAACAAUUAAUGGAUAAAAUCAUAGUAAUGAUCACUUAUGAAGACUUUAACAGUGUUUUUCAAAGUAAAGAGAAAUGGAAAAAUCACAGAUGAUCAGUGACUAGAAAAAUGCUGAAAUACUUAUGUUAGCUUGAUGAAAUAUUGCACUGUUAUAAUGCGACAAUUGUGAAGACUGGAGACACGGUGGAAUGUUUAAGGGAAGGUUACACAAUCAUGUAAAAUGUGUAUAUAUGAAGAGAAACUGGAAGGAAAUGAAAACUUUGAGUUAAGGUGGUGAUACUUGUUUCAGAAUUUCCUCUUACUGUUACCUUCCUGAUAAACAAAGACUGUUGGCUGUGAUUGCUUUGGAGCUAGGCUGGGCCCAGAGUAUGGGCUAGAACCGUACCCAGGAGGGCAGGGGGUUGUGGACAGGUCCUGCUGGGUCUCUAUUUGCUGUGCACGUGUGGUCUGCACCUCUGUCUGCUCAGUCAGCAGGUGCUUAUUGGAUACCUGUCCCAUACCAUGCCCAGGGAUGUAGCAGCAAGCCAGAUGGACAGGAACUUGUACCCCAGCAGAGAACACAGAUGAGGGAAGAGCAAAUGAGGAGGGGUGUAGGAAGGCAGGUGGAAUUGCAGUCUGGGAGAGUCAGCAAGGAGGCCAGCGUCACUGCCAUGGUGUGAGGUGGGGACCUCCUGUUUAGAGAGACUGUAGCUGGAGUCUAACCAUUUCUCUGAGCUUGGUGUUGGUCACACGCUCAUUCUCUAGAACCAUUGCAGGAUUCUGGUUACUCACUCUUCCCCAUAUGAUUCAUUCUCUACCAGGAAUCCGCAGGGGUCCUUAAACACUAGAGCAAAACCACUCUCAGAUUACUCCCCUCCCUCCCUUAAAAUCACUGCUAUAAUCAGAAAGUGUAGACCCUUCCAGACCCUUGCUUGUCAAGGGACAGUGGACCAGGCUGGCCUGGUAUUCAUGGGGCUCCUCCCUGUCUGGCCUGAGCCUUUGGUGUCCUUGUGCUCUGAAUGUUCUUGUUCAGUCUUGGUCAUAUCUAAAGUAGCUUCCCUGUGUUUCUCUGUCUCUUUACCUUGGUUUAUUUAUCUAAAGCUGUCUUUUGGUUUUUUUCAUGUUUUUUUAAGGGGUGUGAUGUCUCUCCUCUGUAGCCUCUGCCUGUCCUUGGCAGGGAUUCAGCUCCUUCUAGACUGUUCUCUAGAUAUAUUUUAUGAAUUUUACAUAUAAAUAUAAGUGCACAUAUUUGUAAGUGAUUUUUUAUCAUGGUGUAUAUUGUUGUCUAAAAAUUGUUUGUUUACUUUUCUACCGGGGGUUCUACCAAGUCCAACAUACAAAGCAUUCCUAAUUGUGCUUUUUAGUAUUUACAGAUUUUAUUUUAUUUUAUUUUUUUUUAAAGAUUUAUUUAUUUGAGACAGAGAGAAUGAGAUACAGAGAGCAUGAGAGGGAGGAGGGUCAGAGGGAGAAGCAGACUCCCCGCCGAGCAGGGAGCCCGAUGCGGGACUCGAUCCUGGGACUCCAGGAUCAUGACCUGAGCCGAAGGCAGCCGCUUAACCAACUGAGCCACCCAGGCGCCUCGUAUUUACAGAUUUUAAUGUCAUAUUAAAUGUCAUAUUAAUGUCACUUUCUUGACAAUUGAGGCCUAAGAAAUUUGUUCUUGAAUUGCAACAAAGUAUAUAAAAUUUUUUUCCUAAAACAUUUUCAUUAUAAAUAUUUGGAUGAAUACUCAGGAAUUGACAGGUAGAGUUUUGUAAGAUUGCAUAAGGGAAAUCUUAGUGAUAAAAAAAGUAUAGAUAUUUAAGUGACAUUUAUUUUUUAUAUUAAUGCACGGGAAAUUGCUCAUAAUUUCAUAACCCAGGUAAUCUUUAUUGACACAUUUAAAAACGUACUCACGCACAUGCACACACAUCUGUUUGGAAAACUGUCAUCGUUCUGAAUUUUGUGCCCAUCAUUCCCUUGUUUUCUUUUUUACACAGUUUCAUUGUAGUUAUUUGUAUUUCUAAAAAGUAGAUAUUUUAAUUUUAAUAGUUUUUAAUUUUUUUUUUUUAAGAUUUUAUUUACUUGACAGAGAGAGAGACACAGCGAGAGAGGGAACACAAGCAGGGGGAGUGGGAGAGGGAGAAGCAGGCUUCCCGCCGAGCAGGGAGCCUGAUGCGGGCUGGAUCCCAGGACCCUAGGAUCAUGACCUGAGCCAAAGGCAGACGCUUAAUGCCUGAGCCGCCCAGGUGCCCCAGUAGUUUUUAAUUUUAUAGGGUAUCAUGCUAUGUGUAAUUUUCUGGGAUUUCCUUUUUCACUUAACAUAAUAUUGCUAAGGUUCAUUUAUAUCGCAUGUUGCCAAUACUUUAUUUUGUCUGCUUUCCAAUUUUUGAAAUCUGUGAAAUCUCCAGUCUGUGAAAACACCCGAAUUUUUUCAUCCACUCUUGCAUUGAGGGACAUUUCAGUUUCCAGGUUUUUUUUUCUCUUUUCCCCCUCGCCUUUUAAAAAAUUGUGUCCUGUGCUGCCCGGAACAUUUCCAUGCUCUUCUCUUUCCUGUGUGAGUGGCAUUGCCAGGUCACUGGGUGUGUAAAUGUUCAAUUUUGGGAGAGACUGCACUGCCGCUUCCAAGGACCGUGGCAGAAGGCCAAGCUGGUGACACUCCUCCCAGCAGAGCUCAGAGUGGCUGGGCCCCACCCCCUUCCAAGGCCAGCCUUGUCACGUGGUUUGGUGUGGGUCCUUUGAGUGUGAAAUGGCAUCUCAUCUUAAGCGGUGUUUCCUUGAUCGCUAAUGACAUUGAAUGUCUCUUCUGUUUAUUGACUGAAUGAAUAUCCUUUUUUGUGAAAUGUCUGUAGAUGCCAUUUGUCCCUUUUGGGGGCUUUGUACUUUUAUGAUUUUGCAGUGCUUUAUAUAUAUAUAUUUUUUAAGAUUUUAUUUUUAAGUAAUCUCUACACUGAGUGUUGGGCCUGACCUCAUAACUCUAGAUCAAAGAGUCAAGUGCUCCUCUGACUGAGUCAGCCAGGCACCCCUCUUAGUUUAGGUUUUGAUAUUUAAUUUCUCUUUCUUCUAGAGUUGGCUUUUUUCUUGUGUUUAAAAAAUUUUUUUUAACAUUUUCUUUUUUUUUUUUUAAGACUUAUUUAUUUUGGUGGGGAGGGGCAGAGGGGGAUGGAGAGAUUGUCUCGAGCCGACUCCAUGCUGAGCACUGAUCUUAAUGCAGGUCUCCAUCUCAUGACCCUGAGAUCAUGACUUGAGCCCAAACCAAGAGUCAGAUGCUAACCAACUGUGUCACCCUAGCGCUCCUAAAAAGUUUUUUAAAUAAAUGGUGUGAGUAGGGAGGGAUUCAGUGUCCUGUUUUUUCAUGUGCUGCAUCAUUUCUUCCCAGCUUUAGGUUAUCAAGCAGGCCUUUCUUUCUCCAUCAGUCUGAUGUCCCACACCCCAGAGUUCACAUGUGCGCGAAUCUUUUUCUGGGUUUGUGCCUUUGGCCAGCUUGCCUCUCAUAUGCUGCUCAGUUACAUGGUUUCAUUAUAAAUCCUGGAAACCAGUAGGCUAGUCACUCCUCCAUGCUUCUCUACUUCAAAAGCAUUCUGGAUAAUUUAUUAUUUAUCCUUUAAUUUAUUUAUUUAAUUCUUUUAUUGGCCAUUUAUUCUUUAAUAUAAACUUCAGAAUUAUCAAAUUUCAUGAAAAAUACUGUUGGGAUAUUAAUUGCACUUGCAUUGAAUCUGUAGAUCAAUUUGAUGAGAAUGGACAUCUUACCAGUAUUGUGCCUUCUUAUUUGUGAAUAUAGUGUAUCUCUCUAUUCAUUUCGUUUUUUAAUAAAAAGUCUCAGUGAAACUGUAUUUUUUGUGUAGAGGUCUUGCCCAUGUUUUGUAGGUUUAUUCCUAGGUCACUGAUGACUCUCUGAUGCCAUCGUCAGCGAUAUUCUCUUUGUAAUUGCCAUGUCUAAUUGUUCACUGGUGGCGUGCAGCAAGGCACCUAAGUGACUAUCUACCCUUACAUACGGCCACCUUGCUGAGCUCUGCUGUCAUCCUAGUAAUUUGUAAGUCAUGUGACCUGCAUGCAAUAACAGUUUUAUCUCUUCCUUUCUGACCCUCAGACUGCAGUUCUUGUCUGAUUGUACCAGUUAGCACUCCCAGUAGAGUGUUGAGUUGAGGCAGUGCUGGUAGAUAUCCUUGUUCUUGGUUUUGUUUAUUUAUUUUUAUUAUUUUAUGAACUUUCCAGUGUCCAGGUAAUUUCAAAUGUACAAAAUCUUGCAAAAAUAAUACACAGGAUUUCCACAUGCCCUCCGUCCAGAUGCCCCAGUUGUUAACAUUUGACCACAUUUGCUCUGUCAGUCUCUGUAUCUAUUCUUCUGUCUAGUUUUUAUUUGCUUUCCGUGAUCAUUCUUGAUUUUGUAGGAAAUGCAUUUACAGUGUCUUUGAGGGUUCUUCAGUUCCAGUGUGGGGAGGGGCAGUGCCCCACACAGUAAUUACCAAGCAGGGUGUCCUUGAAUUCGGCUCAGUUCUGGAACUACCUGGAGAAAGCAUCACGUUCCACAGGUUGUGCUGAGUCCUACAAGACCCCCCCUGGUCUUAGACGUCGGUCGUGAGUCUGGGUUGUCACUUGUGCUUCUGGCUGACUGGCUACAGGUUGGAGGUUCCGACGACCCUUAGGUUCGAUUAAUUUUCUAGAAUGGCUCACAGAACCCAGAGAAACAUCUCACUGGACUACUGGUUUAUUAUAAACAGGUAGAACUCAGGGACAGCCCAAUGGAAGAGAUGCACAGGGGCGAGGUGUGUGGGAAGGGCGGGUAGCUUCCACGCCCUCACCAGGCGCGCCAUUUUUCCUGAAAGUUUCCACGUGUUCACCAGCCUGGAGGCUCUCCCUGAACCCUGUCCUUUUGGCUUUUUAUGGAGACUUCAUUACAUAGGCAUGCUUGGUUAACUCAUUGGCCGUUGGCAAUUGAUUCAGCCUCCAGCUCCUCUAUCCUCCCCAGAGGUCUGGGUGGGACUGGAAGUUCGUCCCUCUGAUCCUGUGGUUUGCUUCUUUGGCAGCCAGCCCCAUCCUUUCAUGCUUCCCAGAAGUCAAGUUACUAACAUAAUAAAAGACACGGCAUCAAUGUUUUGGGGGCGGUGAGCCAGAAAUGGGAGGAAGACCAAAUCUAUAUUUCCUAUAAUAAAGUACAAUAUCACAGGAUGGGGGUUACUUUAUUAUUUUUUUAAUACUCUAUCAGAAUAAGGAAAAUUCUAUUCCUAAUUUACUGAGUUUUUAAAGUCAUACUUAGGUAUUGAAUUUUACCAAAUACUUUUUCUACAUUAAAAAAAAAAUCUGUUAAUGUGGUGAAUUACAUUUAUGAAUCUUAUAAUCACGCUUGUAUACCUGGGAUACACCAAGUAAUGCCUGGUAGUGUUUUAUAUGCUUUUGAAUUCAGGUUGCUGAUAUUUUGCUUAGAAGUUUUCAUCUGUAUUUGUAGUAGAAAUUUCCACUCAUUUUAUUGUCUCUUUCUCCUCUUUGGGUUCAUUUUCUUGUUCAUUUAUACCUUUUUUCUUUAUUUAUUUUAGAGAGGGAGAGAGAUGGGGGGGGAGGGGUAGAGGGAGAGAGAGAAUCUCAAGCAGAGUCCACACCCAGCACGGAGCCCAAUGUGGGGCUUGAUCCUAAGACCCUGAAAUCAUGAUCUGAGCAGAAACCCACAAUCAGGUGAUUAACCGACUGAGCCACCCAGGUGCCCCAUUUAUACCUUCUUUAGACGGAUUUGUUGCCCAGUUAAAAAAAGCACAUUAAAAACGUAUUGGGGACCUUUUUUCAUGAAGCUGAAGCCCACAGGUACUGUUUUUAUAGUUACUUUGGGUAUGAGGAAGUAGGGGUGAUGGCCUGGGGAGACCAUGUGGCUGGUGGUUAAUGAGUCCUUAGUACAUGAUUAAAGAGCUGAGUAAGUGAAGAAAAGCAUGGCCCAGUGGUCCCAG
Molecule: long non-coding RNA, 13737 nt
Organism: Mirounga angustirostris (Northern elephant seal)
Lineage: Eukaryota; Metazoa; Chordata; Mammalia; Carnivora; Phocidae
Exons: 2
Source: RefSeq, a predicted model, not a curated record